Molecule: ribosomal RNA, 574 nt
Filed under: Colletotrichum sp. EF10
Lineage: Eukaryota; Fungi; Ascomycota; Sordariomycetes; Glomerellales; Glomerellaceae
Description: eukaryotic LSU rRNA
Rfam family: 5.8S ribosomal RNA (bases 203-356)
Source: RNAcentral
UCCGUAGGUGAACCUGCGGAGGGAUCAUUACUGAGUUUACGCUCUAUAACCCUUUGUGAACAUACCUAUAACUGUUGCUUCGGCGGGUAGGGUCUCCGUGACCCUCCCGGCCUCCUGCCCCCGGGCGGGUCGGCGCCCGCCGGAGGAUAACCAAACUCUGAUUUAACGACGUUUCUUCUGAGUGGUACAAGCAAAUAAUCAAAACUUUUAACAACGGAUCUCUUGGUUCUGGCAUCGAUGAAGAACGCAGCGAAAUGCGAUAAGUAAUGUGAAUUGCAGAAUUCAGUGAAUCAUCGAAUCUUUGAACGCACAUUGCGCCCGCCAGCAUUCUGGCGGGCAUGCCUGUUCGAGCGUCAUUUCAACCCUCAAGCUCUGCUUGGUGUUGGGGCCCUACAGCUGAUGUAGGCCCUCAAAGGUAGUGGCGGACCCUCCCGGAGCCUCCUUUGCGUAGUAACUUUACGUCUCGCACUGGGAUCCGGAGGGACUCUUGCCGUAAAACCCCCAAUUUUCCAAAGGUUGACCUCGGAUCAGGUAGGAAUACCCGCUGAACUUAAGCAUAUCAAUAAGCGGAGGA